GGAGAGAAUUGAACUAUCGAUGCCCGACGUCGGGAGGAGGUGAGGUGCACAGGAGCUCAAAGAUUACCGACCUAACUAGGUUUGUGGGAGUUCUGAGGUCGGGAAACAACCGACCUGGGUGGUCUGUGUCGGAUGUGACAUGGGAUGCUCAUGACAUCGGGGAAGACCGAUCUUGGCUCUGAGGUGCCAUCGAUCCAAAAGGGUUGACGUUAGAAGGCCACUUA
Molecule: long non-coding RNA, 224 nt
Filed under: Elaeis guineensis (African oil palm)
Lineage: Eukaryota; Viridiplantae; Streptophyta; Magnoliopsida; Arecales; Arecaceae
Description: long non-coding RNA (EGUI_LNC060641)
Source: RNAcentral